Long non-coding RNA from Ictalurus punctatus (channel catfish), 593 nucleotides. The record is from Ensembl. NCBI's taxonomy places the organism in Eukaryota, Metazoa, Chordata, Actinopteri, Siluriformes, Ictaluridae.
CUGAUUAAGGAGGCGUUUAAUUUGACCGCGUGAUUUGGAAGACUCUAAUGAUUGGUCCAAUUACGUCGCUUUGCUUAAUUAAAAUUUUUGUCGUUGUUGUUUGUUUUUAAUACAGCGCAGCAACAAACCGCCUACAUGGCAAAAUUACCAUAAAGGCUUUCAGUAAACAUAAAAAUUGAGUUUAUAAGGAAAGAGAGAGGGAAAUGAAAGAAUUGGACAGGGAAAAGCUCCUGCAUUAAGAUUGACGUGUCUUACAUUGGGCUCAGGACAGCUCCCUGGUAUCAGUCGGGGUAUGUGGCGGCGGGGCGUGGUCGAGUGUCAGCUGUGGACAGGGAGGAGGCGGGAUGAACUGGCAGUAGAAAACACUGACCAGCCAAAUGAAGCUCUGGAAGGAGAGGAUGAAGUUUUACACACACCAUGUGAACACACCAACCAACAGGACAACGUUUCCCAAAGGCAUCCCAGAACAAUGAUCACUGGUAGAUUUUAGAGUGAGCAACACAUCAAACUCCAGUUUUCCUGAAGAGCAGUGUAAAGUGGACCUACAAUAAAAGUUAGUUUAUUUGAUUAAAUCUCACUAAAUAAACAGGCAG